This 372-nucleotide ribosomal RNA is filed under the name uncultured organism. RNAcentral describes it as "bacterial SSU rRNA". It matches the Rfam family "Bacterial small subunit ribosomal RNA", at positions 526 to 896 of the family's 1533-position model. The record is from RNAcentral.
CGUAGGCAGCGAGCGUUGUUCGGAAUUACUGGGCGUAAAGAGUGUGUAGGCGGUUGCUCUAAGUUCGGUGUGAAAUCUCCUGGCUUAACUGGGAGGGUGCGCCGGAAACUGGAGUGCUUGAGCGUGGGAGAGGAAAGCGGAAUUCCUGGUGUAGUGGUGAAAUGCGUAGAUAUCAGGAGGAACACCUGCGGUGUAGACGGCUUUCUGGACCAUGGCUGACGCUGAGACACGAAAGCGUGGGUAGCAAACAGGAUUAGAUACCCUGGUAGUCCACGCCCUAAACGAUGCAUACUUGGUGUCGGCCAUUCAGUUCGGUCGGUGCCGGAGCUAACGCGUUAAGUAUGCCGCCUGGGGAGUACGGUCGCAAGGCUG